Molecule: unclassified non-coding RNA, 569 nt
Filed under: Daphnia pulicaria
Lineage: Eukaryota; Metazoa; Arthropoda; Branchiopoda; Diplostraca; Daphniidae
Description: uncharacterized LOC124342879, transcript variant X2
Source: RNAcentral
GUUUAGGGUGCAAUUUUGGAAGACUACAAGGUCGCAUUGAUCUUAAACGAUGGUCAAAAGCAGAUUUAAACUGACCAUGUCGUCGCUGUUGUCGGUUGGGACGCAAACUUACGGAUUUGGCUGUCGUUUCUGGUUUGGAAAUAGAUUCCAAUUUUGGUGGUUAUCGAGUCAAUACCGAGGUUGAAGCACGAUCGAACGUCUGGUUGGCUGGAGAUGUUGCGUUCGUUUGUGAUAUCAAAUUGGGUCGUUAUCGUACGGAACAUCAUCACUUUGCUGUCGUAUCAGGGCGAUUGGCUGGAGAGAACAAUACUGGCAACGAAACAUGGAUGAACAACUGCAGUGCACUGUCACCAAGUUCAUUCUUCGUCGUAUUAUCAGUACGCAAUCGGUGUCGUGCUGUUUCCGUUUGUCGUAUCGUUGAAGGUUGGGUCGAUCACUGGUGUACUCAUGGCUCCUGGGUAUGGCGGAUACCAAAGCACCACGCCGCCGCCUUGCUACACAACGAAAACAUUCGCACCAACCGGUUACUACACUGAGGGCCACAAUUACUACACCAUCAAGGCUCCAGA